GGUGGAGCGAUUUGUCUGGUUUAUUCCGAUAACGAACGAGACUCUGGCCUACUAACUAGUGACAGAAUUAUUGCUGUUCUGGUUACUUCUUAGAGGGACAAGUGGUGUUCAGCCACACGAAAUUGAGCAAUAACAGGUCUGUGAUGCCCUUAGAUGUCCGGGGCUGCACGCGUGCUACACUGGAGGAAACAGCAUGCAAAACCAUUGCCGAGAGGCAUUGGUAAACCCGAGAAAAUCUUCCGUGAUCGGGAUCGGGAAUUGCAAUUAUUUCCCUUGAACGAGGAAUUCCCAGUAAGUGUGGGUCAUCAGCUCGCGCUGAAUACGUCCCUGCCCUUUGUAC
RNAcentral lists this ribosomal RNA (340 nucleotides) under Nematoda environmental sample. RNAcentral describes it as "SSU rRNA". It matches the Rfam family "Eukaryotic small subunit ribosomal RNA", at positions 1300 to 1665 of the family's 1831-position model. The record is from RNAcentral. Lineage: Eukaryota; Metazoa; Nematoda.